Non-coding RNA from Lutra lutra (Eurasian river otter), 455 nucleotides. NCBI's taxonomy places the organism in Eukaryota, Metazoa, Chordata, Mammalia, Carnivora, Mustelidae. The record is from the annotation of a RefSeq genome assembly.
CACCCAACAGCUGCACACAAUCCUUUGUAGAUACCAUGAGAGCACAGCACCUCACCAUGGACUGGAGCUGGAGAAUCCUCUUCCUGGUGGUAUUGGCUACAGGUGUCCACUCCCAGGUGCAGUUGGUGCAGUCUGAGGCUGAGCUGAGGAAGCUGGGGGAAUCCGUAAAGGUCUCCUGCAAGGCAUCUGGGUACACCUUCACCAGCUACACAAUGAACUGGGUGCAACAGGUACCAGGAAAGAGCCUGCAGUACAUGGGAUAGAUCAACAUGAAAGCUGGGAAUCCAACGUAUGCCCAGGGAUCCAGUCGAUCUGUUUUCUCCAUGGACACCUCUAUCAGCACAGCCUAUCUACAGAUCAGCAGCCUGAACUCCAAGGACACGGCCGUGUAUUACUGUGCAAGAGACGUGAUAUCUUCUUUGACUUCCUGGUUGAACCAAACAUUCUUGAUCUAG